Long non-coding RNA from Poecilia latipinna (sailfin molly), 3667 nucleotides. RefSeq lists it as uncharacterized. Lineage: Eukaryota; Metazoa; Chordata; Actinopteri; Cyprinodontiformes; Poeciliidae. The record is from RefSeq and is a predicted model, not a curated record. The transcript is spliced from 3 exons.
GGGGCAACAUCUCAGCCUCAGGACCGGAGACCGAAGCGCACGUUUGGACACGGGGCGGAUGAAAAGGUUCGCCAUCCGCACGGAGCAUCCCGCUCUCUGACGGAAACCAGAUCCUCCUGAUGUGGUUACAUUAGCGGGAAGAUGUCUCACUCACAGCCCCAUUAUGCAGCCGUGCCGCAGAUGAUGAGAGGGAGGGGGAGAUUAUCGAUCUGAUCCACGCCGGGACUCACCUGUCUGUCAAAGCAGGUGUGGACAGAGAAACUGGAGGCUGGAGAAGCGCCCUGUGGAUGUUUUUAUCUCCUGGAUGCAAAGGACGCUUCGACAAACCCUGAAAAGAAGCCUCAGUUUUUCCAGUUUGCUGCUCUGACGAAUGAAGGAGCCUGUUCCUGUCUUUGGUUAUCUAGCUGUAUGAGUGUAAACUCUCCAUCAUAAAGCUAGAUAACCGAAAGUAGGAAUGACCUCCAAGGCUUCAGACCCUUUAGCUCAUGUGAGAGGAAACCUGGGAAAAGGGAAGAAGCAUCACAUGAUGUGUCCAGGUAGGUCUUUAUUUGUAGUAUCGAUAAAUAAAUGAGUGAUUAUUUGUCUACGUGUGUGUUGAAAAGAAUAGUAUAUUUGUAUGUAUAAUUUUCUCUCUUUUUUUUGUCAAAAUAAAAAGUUGUGAUUGAAACCAAUUGGAAAUUAAAACCCUUUUCUCUUUCUUGAUUAUUGGAGGGUUACACAACAAACUAGCCGGAAAACUGCAACAGUUGAAAUUCCUUAAUGUCUCAACCUGAAUGUUUUAAGCAACCUAUUCCUGUCAAAACGUGUGUGUGUAUAUGUGUGUAUAUAUAUAUAUAUAUAUAUAUAUAUAUACAUAUACAUAUAUAUAGGUCAGCCUCCAUCGCUGUGAGGAAAUGCUCCAGGUUGUAUGUUUCUGACUCAUUCUGACCUCACUGCUAUCUUUAAAAUCAUUGUGCUGCAUUAGACCAAAAAUGAAUGUUUUUUGGUUCAUGAUGAUUAUUUUUAAUAUUAAAGCCUGAUGAGCAAAUUCAAAUGCUUCCUGCCUUGGGUUUCUCCCACGGUGAGAUCUUCCUCACUAGGGACUUUAGCUUCCCACUAAUUAUUCGAGUCACAUUUCUGGGGCCUCUCAAAGGCCAGUCUGUGAGUCACUGCAGAGCUGCCACUGAAAGCUGAACAAAAACUGACAAAGCUGGUAUUUUGAUGUGACAUUUUGAUCAUGUGAUUCAUCCCUGUGGUUUUCCCUCUCAGAAGGUUCACAGCGAUUUUACACUGCUAAUGGCUGAUAAAUUAUUCUAUUAAAAUCUGCAUGUCAUCAGUUCAAAUUAAUGUUGUGCUAAAUGGUUAUAAAGAAAAUAAAGAUACAUCACUGCAGUGUAUGGCUCCAAUGUGACAUAAUGUGAAAGAGCUCAAAGAAAAAAUACACGCAAGGCACUGAUGUCCUAUGAAAGAAAGAAAUUAUUAUAUUAUUGCUCAUGUCUUUCUUUGUUUUGUUGUUGUGUUUCUUUUUUUAAUCCAAAGACUGUUGGCUUCUUAACAAAACUUGUGUAAAUUUGUUUUAAAAAUAGAUUUAAGAUGCAGAUAAUUGUUAGGGAUAUAAAAAUAAAUCAGAAAUGACACUCGAAUGUUCCCUUCCUGAACACUUUUCAAACGAUUGAGUCUUUUCAAAUCUAUUUUAAAUUGCACUGCUUACUUUUUACAUCUCAUUAACAACAAUUGUAAAUGUAUUUUUGAAACACAAAACAAGAAUAACUGAAAUAAAGGGAGAACAAAAAAAGCAAUAUUGUUACUUAUACAGUUCUUGUUCUGGUAAAUUAACUGUCUUUGCUAUUUCAAGUUAUUUUGUUUUGCUUGUUUUUUUAGUCAUUUAUUUGAAAUUUUAUUGGAAGAAGAAUGGAGGUGAAAAGAAAAAAUGUAUUUUUUAUUUUACAUAAUCUUUUUGAAAGUUGCAAAGAAAGGAAACAUGUCUACUGCAGAAACUGCUUUUAUUAAAAAUACAUAACAAAUUUAACAAUUUUUAAAAAUGGAUUUCUUUAAUUGUCCCGCAUUUAAAUUUCCACUGAUCAGAUCUUAAAAACUUCUUACUCUGUUUUUCUUUAAUCACAAAUGUCUAGUUUUGACAGAUUUUUUUCAUAUUCGUAUUUGUUUCUUUCUUUCUUUCUUUUUUUUUUUCUUGUGAAUAAAUGUGAGGAUAAAAAUAAAACAUACAGCGCGGGAAAGCGUUUCUAACCCUAAAAGCCUGAGCUCAGGUCAAUAAAGUACGGCACGAUCCUGCAAAGUGAGUGCUGUAAACAAAGCAGUGUUCUUCAUCAUUCUGCGUUGGAAACUGUAAACUGGAGAUACUGGAGCAGUCUGGAGGCGGAGGUCCUGGCCGCGGCGCGCAGGACUGUUUCAGCCCGUUUAUCUGACGCAGAUUUGUGGGUUUCUCCUGCAGAUCCCAUCACGAGGGACAAAACGCUGCCAAGAAAACCCCAAAAAACCCAGGACUGCCUGACAACGGUGUAAAAUAAAGGAAACAAACUCCAGCCGAUAAUGAAAAGGAGGCAGACAAGCUGGGCUCAUUAACAUAAUUGCAUAGAAACUGGGAGCAGGCCUGUUUAAAGGCGCAGCGGCGGCGGCUCGCUGCAUCACCAAUCACACAGCUUCAUGCUUUAAAGCUUUACACUCAAAUUCACCGCGAAGCCUUUUUUUUUUUGUUGUUGUUGUUUUAGUCUUCCUACAAUGACUUUACUUUUUUGUUUCUAUCACGAUUUAAAUAAAGCUCGUUUUAGCUGCUUGGAAACGUAAUGGGGGGACUGUUCCUUUAUUAGGAAGCAGGCUCUAAUUAGCCAUGCAGCCUGGGGGAAGGCUUACAGCGAAGCUGCUAAUGAGCGAUGCACACAUACCUGCCUCCAAAUGAAGUAUGUAAUUUCUUAACGUGUAGAUUUCUGUCAUCAAGAUUUAUUCUAACGCCAUGUUUGUAAUUGUUUGUAGAUUUAUCAAAUCCUAAACCACUGGGUUUAAAAGAGAAGAAAACGGCCUAUAAACGCCUUACAUGCACCUGCAGCUUUGGCUGAGUCUGUGCUCUGGGUCGGUGUUUGGUGCUGCAGCUGCAGGAGACCUGUUGGCCUGUUGGUAAACACACUGUCCAGGGCCCACAUUAUAAUUCUGAUCCUGGCUUCUCGCCACAAUGGCUGCUUUUGUGAAUGGAGCACUUGACAAAGCUAAAACAGCGAUGAGCCUCAACCCAGCCAUGGUUCAGAAUGAGAGGAUCAGCACAUCUUCCACCAACACGCUGGGAUCUGACGGCUCGUCUGAAGGUGACGAACACAUGGAGCCGAACUCAGACUGAACAGUUCAAACAGCCAGUAAUAUAAAGACGCAAAAAUGAAGCGAAGCUUGUAAAGUUAGUUAUGUAUAAUUUUUCAUGUGAAAUGUGAUAAUGCAGGUUUAUUGCUGCAAAAUAUAUAUUUUUAAACUAUUAGAUUAGCCUGGACGACUUAAAAUCAUGUUCGAUAGAAGAAAAUAUGUGUCUUCAGGCUCAACUUAGAUAACUUUUAUAUUUAAAUGGUGUUAAUAGACGUGAUAUCCUUUUUUUUUUUUCAAAACAAAAUGCUGAAAAGUGGAUUGUUUAUAAUGUAAUGCAAGCUGUCCAGUUAUUCAUGUCUUCAAUAAAACAGACUAAAACCAA